This 2984-nucleotide long non-coding RNA is filed under the name Homo sapiens (human). Its description in RNAcentral is "non-protein coding lnc-IDNK-8:1". The record is from RNAcentral. Lineage: Eukaryota; Metazoa; Chordata; Mammalia; Primates; Hominidae.
CACUGCACUCCAGCUUGGGUGACAGUGCGAGACUCCAUCUCAAAAAAAAAAAAAAAAGAAAUUGUACUAUCCAAGUUCAUAAAACCAUCCUAAUUCCAAAAAAAAAAAAAAGCAAUCAGAGGCUGAAGUGGAAGCAUGGCCCCUGAUGAAUAAGAGGCAUUUCUCGUUUGUGAUGUAGGGGAGAGGGGGUUUUGUAGAGGGAGGAGCCUCUGGCCUCUUGUCACUUGGGCAUGCAGAGGUGGGGUUUUCCUUUCAGCCCAGUUCGAAGAAGAAAGCCAUGGGUUGGCCUUAGGCUCCUUGUCUCCAGACCCUAUUCUCCUGCCUCAGCUGAAGCUGAUGUGUCUCUGAUUCCAAAGCCUGAAAAAUUUUCGUUAUAUUAUACCAGCUUUGUUACUGAAAAGAACAUUCAGGAAUGUAGUUAAUAACCACUGGUGUUCAAGGACCUGUUUUAAUUAAUAAAAAUGAUUUACAUUAAACAUUAAAUUUUAAUUUAAAAUAAAUGCAUUUGAGGCAUUGAAAAUAAUUUGUUUUCUAAAUAUGACAUUCCCACAAGUUUUAUACAUUAUGAAUUGCCUUUAAAUAUUCUCCCUCUUCUAGUCCUUAGACACUGAGGAGUAUAUGUCAACCCAUUUGACAAGGUUCAAAUUAAUGCAUUUCCUGAAUUAUCCAAUCUAAAUUAAUGAGGUUGUUCAUAUGGACCACAAUAAUUUCAGCAAUUUCUUCUAUUUUUUUUAAUCUGUGCUGUGGUUUAAAUCUUUUCUCUUGACCUGUCUUUUAAUUCACUAUCCCUAUUUUCUGGUGUGUUUAAUCUGCUGUUAAAUCCAUUUAUUGAGUUCUUAAUUGUGGAUAUUGUAUUUUUCAAGCCAAUAACUGCCAUUUGAUUAUUCCAUAUAGAUUUCAGCUCUCCAGUAAAAUAAUUUAUCUUCUGCUCUAUUUUCUUCAACAUAGUAAUCACAGCUAUUCUAAAGUCAUUGUCUAAUAAUUCUAAUACCUAGUUCUCCAGUGAGAUUGUUUACAUUAUCUUUUUUAUUUUUGGUCUUGGGUUUUGGUUGUAUAGUCCUAUCAUAUCACAAGACAAGUCACUUUUGAUUGGAUAAUGGACAUUGUUUACAACAAUUGUAAAAGCUUUGGAUGAUGUUAUCAUUUUCAUCGAAGUUCAUUCUUUUCUUUGCUAGACAAAGUGAGAGCAAAUCCUCUUAACUCAAGGAUUGAACCAAGUCAAGGCUGGAUGACUUUUAGCUAAUGCUCAGUCCAUUUCUAGCUUGCUAUUUUACCUAUGGUUUUGUGCCCCAGGACUUUCAGCUGAGAACAUAAUUUGUUCACCAUGACCCCAAACCCUUGAAGGUCCUGAAAUCUACCUUCUGUGUUCUGUGAAGCUGAAAAAUUCUGAUCUGCAUUUCAGAUGUUUUCAGAUAUUAUUUAUGGUCUUCUGCACAGUGAAAUUUUCAAAUGUGGAAAAUGUCUUGGGAAGAAAAAUGAUGUGGUUUUGAAAAUCCUCAAGAAUCUGGUUUUGUCUCUUCGGCCAGCUUAGACUGACAAAUGGUAUGAUGCCUUUGUCCUCCAGAAAGGCCCUUAUCCUGGGCAAAGCUUACCUGUUCUCAGCCCCUUGUCUGUGCCCAGAACAAGCAAGUUCUGGGAACACUGGUUACAGGUUGUCAUCUGCUGACCUCUCUAUUGCUAGAUCCUCUCUGGAAUCUUAGACCCUGUAUCCUGAUUUCUUCAGUAGCUCACCGAUGCCUUUAAAUUUAGAAGUUUUACAUUUUGUCUGGAUUUUUUUGUUAUGUAAAAGAUCAUUAGCCUACAGAAAACUACUCCAUCUUAUCCAGGUCCAGAAGUCUCACAUCUGUGGGCUCCUAAACAAGAGAUUGAUAGAAUAAAAUUUCUAUUUGCCAGAUGGAUAAAAGAAAAGAAACUGGGCAAGAUGCAACAGACCUUAACCAUGUUGGCAGAGGCAGGAAUUAACAGAAACAUAGAACUCUGAUAAUGUUAUUUUCAAUCUUUAUAACACCUCCAAGGUAGAUAUUCUUGGCCUCCCUUUACAAAUUAAUUUACAAGAUGUACAUUAUUGUAUUUACUAUCCCCAAAGCCUAGGUAUCUUCUGUGUGGUAUAGUGGAGCUUUGUCCAAAGUAGCUCUGACAUCACUAAGCCUCAAUUACUCGGUCUGUCAAAUGAGAAUAAUAAUAUUUGUUUCAUAAUUCUGACCAUUGAAAUAAAUACAUAUGAAAGCAACUCAUUAAUUACAAAGAGAUAUAUAUUUUAAGGGCAACUGGGAUACAUAAAAAUGAAUGUUAUAAAGGGAGGCAUUUUGUUGUUUUUCUUUUUCUUUUAAAAAAGAGAUAGGGUCUCACUGUGUUAACUAGGCUGGUCUUGAACUCCUGACCUCAAGCCAUCUUCUUGGCUCGGCCUCCCAAAGCACUGGGAUUAUAGGGGGAAGAAGGGUCUUUAAAAAAAAAGUUCACAGAUCCCUGGAAACAAGAGGCACACCACACCACACAGGGCUACCCAGGGAACUACCAGCAUCAGUCAGGAGACGAGGGAGCAAGGGGAAAAUGUAGCUAACAGUCUUUAUUGUGAUUUCCCAGGGAAGGAACAAGCAAUGCAGGGUUAACAGAUUUAGAAUUGGCAAGUUUGGAUAAUUUUGGCAGGCACUAGGGGCAUUGGGCCCUUUCCUAGUUGUCAGGAACCUGGCCUUCAGAUGAUUAGGGCAGCAGGAUAGUGGGUCAGAGUGUGAGAGCCUAAUAAACUAGGUGGUUAGGGGUAUGGACUCUGGGUGGUUUGGUUUACAAAUGACAGAUGCAUUGCCUGGAAAAUUGUUUGCCAUCUUUAGGAAUAGGCUAACCCUAAAGGAGGUAGUCCCUCCAGGGUCAACUAGCCUCCAAGAUGCCCAAGCAUCCAAACACAGCAAAAAAAGACAUGAUUAAGACAGUAUAGAAAUAUAAGUGGCAGUUAUCUUUCUUAAGUACCAAUAUUCUACUAAUUCUGA